RNAcentral lists this ribosomal RNA (314 nucleotides) under uncultured bacterium. Its description in RNAcentral is "bacterial SSU rRNA". It matches the Rfam family "Bacterial small subunit ribosomal RNA", at positions 28 to 334 of the family's 1533-position model. The record is from RNAcentral.
GAUAAACGCUGGCGGCGCACAUAAGACAUGCAAGUCGAACGGACUUAACCUAUAGUUUACUAUUGGAGCGGUUAGUGGCGGACUGGUGAGUAACGCGUAAGCAAUCUGCCUAUCAGAGGGGAAUAACAGUGAGAAAUCACUGCUAAUACCGCAUAACAUACGGAUGUCGCAUGGCAACCGUAUCAAAGAUUUUAUCGCUUGAAGAUGGACUCGCGUCCGAUUAGCCAGUUGGCGGGGUAACGGCCCACCAAAGCGACGAUCGGUAGCCGGACUGAGAGGUUGAACGGCCACAUUGGGACUGAGACACGGCCCAG